Molecule: long non-coding RNA, 1088 nt
Filed under: Vitis vinifera (wine grape)
Lineage: Eukaryota; Viridiplantae; Streptophyta; Magnoliopsida; Vitales; Vitaceae
Description: long non-coding RNA (VVIN_LNC001185)
Source: RNAcentral
AGAGAAGAUACUUUGCUUAAGUUGGCACACUUCAGGCGGCACAAGAGGAAAACAUUGAAGAAGACUCAAGGGAAAAGUACAAAUUAUCCUUUCCACAAGCCUGAGGAAAACCAUCCUCCUGGAAAGGAUGAUACAAAAAAAAUCUCUAACCUGAUAGGAAAAGCUGCCAAGUAUGCUAGUUCAGCAAAAUCCAAGAAGGUAAAGUUCCAAACAACAUUGCAGUUUAAUAUGAAAGCUUUUUUUCUUUCUUUCUUUCUUUCUUUUUUUAAUGGGUGAAAACUGUUAAAAUCUGCACAUUGAAGGAUGAUGGCUGGUGGUUGGAAAAUAUGUGCUACUUUAUUAUUUCUACUAUAUUGACAUCAAUUGAAUUCAAAGUGUGCUACUAAUAUCUAAUUGAGACAAGUUUACUCUUCUUAUUGGAAUGUUGUUGAACUUUAAUAUGAAUUCAAGUUCAUUAACUAAUGAUGUGGAAUAAAUCUAUUAAGGUUAGUGGGAGUUUAAGGAGUUCCAUAGCCAUUUAAUCAAAUGGGGAGUGGACAUUGCACAUGGUUUUGGCUCAAGUCUUGAGUACUAUCAUUCCUGAAUUAAAAAACUAAAUGAUGGAAGUUAAAUAAGGUUUCUCUACUGGUUUUAUGAUAUAAUAGUUGUUAAUGUGCUUGAUAUAAAUUGGUGGCUCACUAUCUAAUAGCUUAAGCUUUUGGGAAUAUUGAUAGCUUAACAGAGUAUCCAAGCCUUAUUUAGUGGGAAGUUACAAGUUUGAAACUCAUCGCAUGUUUAUUUCUCCUAAUUUUAUUUAGUCUACAUGCAAAUGAGCUUGAUAUGCAUUGUUAGCCCAUUACCUAAUAACUUCUAGAAAAUUGGUAGCUUAAUUACUGUAUUAGUAAGAAUAUCAAUAACCACUUUCUUGCACUGGUGAGUUUAUCUUGCAUAAACCAUGUCAUAACCUGUUUUACUUUCUUGAUGUAGCCGUUGCCUUAUGUUCCUACCAUAACAAACUACACUCAACUCUGGUGGGUUCCUAAUGUUGUUGUGGCUCAUCAAAGGGAAGGAAUAGAAGCUGUUCACUUGCCCACUGGUCGCACUAUCUG